This 440-nucleotide ribosomal RNA is filed under the name uncultured Pseudomonas sp. RNAcentral describes it as "bacterial SSU rRNA". It matches the Rfam family "Bacterial small subunit ribosomal RNA", at positions 358 to 790 of the family's 1533-position model. The record is from RNAcentral. Lineage: Bacteria; Pseudomonadati; Pseudomonadota; Gammaproteobacteria; Pseudomonadales; Pseudomonadaceae.
GGAAUAUUGGACAAUGGGCGAAAGCCUGAUCCAGCCAUGCCGCGUGUGUGAAGAAGGUCUUCGGAUUGUAAAGCACUUUAAGUUGGGAGGAAGGGCAGUUACCUAAUACGUGAUUGUUUUGACGUUACCGACAGAAUAAGCACCGGCUAACUCUGUGCCAGCAGCCGCGGUAAUACAGAGGGUGCAAGCGUUAAUCGGAAUUACUGGGCGUAAAGCGCGCGUAGGUGGUUUGUUAAGUUGGAUGUGAAAUCCCCGGGCUCAACCUGGGAACUGCAUUCAAAACUGACUGACUAGAGUAUGGUAGAGGGUGGUGGAAUUUCCUGUGUAGCGGUGAAAUGCGUAGAUAUAGGAAGGAACACCAGUGGCGAAGGCGACCACCUGGACUGAUACUGACACUGAGGUGCGAAAGCGUGGGGAGCAAACAGGAUUAGAUACCCUUG